This 435-nucleotide long non-coding RNA is filed under the name Mytilus galloprovincialis (Mediterranean mussel). The record is from RNAcentral. Lineage: Eukaryota; Metazoa; Mollusca; Bivalvia; Mytilida; Mytilidae.
GCCCCUAAUGUUUCCUAUUUCCCCCUUAUUAAGACUGACUCAUUAAAUUGUUUUAAGAGUUAUUAACCUCUACAUCAUCGACUCUGGAUGACAAUUGUUCUCAAUUGCAAUCAUACUUAAUGUUCUUAUUUUUGUUUUUGUCUUGAUGACACCUUAAUUAAUUUUUUUCAAAUACAAAGAGCUAUAUAAGGCUUUAUCAUGCCUUUCAUAAACUUGUGUUAAAGAGUAAUUUAGUCACGUUUUUCAUUUUCUAUUUUUGGUAUCACAUUUGAAGAGUCUUUUUCUUUCUUUUUUUGUAAUUGCAUUUUAUCUUUCUGAUUUCUUAUUUAUGAUACAACAUUCCUACAUAUCUUGAAUCCCUUUCCAUUUGAGAAAAAUACAUUGAGCAAUUCUGACUGAGACAAAUCACUUUUCAUAGUUGAUACUUUAUGAUUU